Molecule: ribosomal RNA, 488 nt
Filed under: Thermodesulfobacterium commune
Lineage: Bacteria; Pseudomonadati; Thermodesulfobacteriota; Thermodesulfobacteria; Thermodesulfobacteriales; Thermodesulfobacteriaceae
Description: bacterial SSU rRNA
Rfam family: Bacterial small subunit ribosomal RNA
Source: RNAcentral
ACGACGGGUAGCCGGCCUGAGAGGGUGGUCGGCCACGCGGGCACUGAGACACGGGCCCGACUCCUACGGGAGGCAGCAGGGGGGAAUCUUGGGCAAUGGGCGAAAGCCUGACCCAGCGACGCCGCGUGGGGGAAGAAGGCCUUCGGGUCGUAAACCCCUGUUCUGGAGGAAGAACCCAGGGUAGGUGAAUAACCUAUCCUGGCUGACGGUACUCCAGGAGAAAGCCACGGCUAACUGCGUGCCAGCAGCCGCGGUAAUACGCAGGUGGCGAGCGUUGCCCGUAAAGGGUGCGUAGGCGGCCGGACAAGUCAUAGGUUAAAGCCCGGAGCUCAACUCCGGAAAGGCCUAUGAUACUGUCUGGCUUGAGGGCCGGAGAGGCUGGCGGAAUUCCCGGUGUAGGGGUGAAAUCCGUAGAUAUCGGGAGGAACACCGGUGGGGAAGCCGGCCAGCUGGACGGUUCCUGACGCUGAGGCACGAAAGCGUGGGGA